RNAcentral lists this transfer RNA (67 nucleotides) under Moniezia sp. MN-2015. RNAcentral's name for it is "tRNA-His". The record is from RNAcentral. Lineage: Eukaryota; Metazoa; Platyhelminthes; Cestoda; Cyclophyllidea; Anoplocephalidae.
UUAUUGGUAGGUUAUUUAAACUGGUAGAUUGUGGUUCUGCAGAAUGUGCAUUUGUCACACCUGUAAU